RNAcentral lists this small RNA (554 nucleotides) under Pongo abelii (Sumatran orangutan). Its description in RNAcentral is "retained intron". Lineage: Eukaryota; Metazoa; Chordata; Mammalia; Primates; Hominidae. The record is from RNAcentral.
AUAUGUAAGAUAAAAUUUCUUGCUAAAAAUGACUUUGGGAUAAAACUUGGAAAGAUAAACAUCACUUGAGCCACUACUGCUAUCAUACCUUGUCACUCAGCUAGUCAGUGGGAUUGAAGGAGGGGUAUGAGGAGACGGGUGUUCUGACUCUGAUUAUACAUUCACAGUAUCCUGAGAAGAAAAGGCUGGAGGGCCUGUCAAAGCAGCUGGAUUGGAAUGUCCGAAAAAUCCAAUGUUGGUUUCGCCAUCGGAGGAAUCAGGACAAGCCCCCAACGCUUACUAAAUUCUGUGAAAGCAUUCACCUUGGUUCUGGGACAUCCAACAGUGCUGGCAUAACUAUCCAUUUCAGCCUCUUUCAAGUGGGCUUUAUUACUAUUAUAUCAUGGAAUUGGCCUUCUAUUGGUCCCUUAUGUUUUCUCAGUUUACAGACAUUAAAAGAAAGGACUUCCUGAUUAUGUUUGUGCAUCACUUGGUCACCAUUGGGCUUAUCUCCUUCUCCUACAUCAACAAUAUGGUUCGAGUGGGAACUCUGAUCAUGUGUCUACAUGAUGUCU